UGGGGAAUAUUGGACAAUGGGCGCAAGCCUGAUCCAGCCAUACCGCGUGGGUGAAGAAGGCCUUCGGGUUGUAAAGCCCUUUUGUUGGGAAAGAAAUCCAGCUGGCUAAUACCCGGUUGGGAUGACGGUACCCAAAGAAUAAGCACCGGCUAACUUCGUGCCAGCAGCCGCGGUAAUACGAAGGGUGCAAGCGUUACUCGGAAUUACUGGGCGUAAAGCUUGCGUAGGUGGUCGUUUAAGUCCGUUGUGAAAGCCCUGGGCUCAACCUGGGAACUGCAGUGGAUACUGGGCGACUAGAGUGUGGUAGAGGGUAGCGGAAUUCCUGGUGUAGCAGUGAAAUGCGUAGAGAUCAGGAGGAACAUCCAUGGCGAAGGCAGCUACCUGGACCAACACUGACACUGAGGCACGAAAGCGUGGGGAGCAAACAGG
RNAcentral lists this ribosomal RNA (429 nucleotides) under Bacillota bacterium. RNAcentral describes it as "Firmicutes bacterium partial 16S ribosomal RNA". It matches the Rfam family "Bacterial small subunit ribosomal RNA", at positions 355 to 776 of the family's 1533-position model. Lineage: Bacteria; Bacillati; Bacillota. The record is from RNAcentral.